Molecule: transfer RNA, 75 nt
Filed under: Clostridioides difficile
Lineage: Bacteria; Bacillati; Bacillota; Clostridia; Peptostreptococcales; Peptostreptococcaceae
Description: tRNA-Thr
Rfam family: tRNA
About the family: Transfer RNA (tRNA) molecules are approximately 80 nucleotides in length. Their secondary structure includes four short double-helical elements and three loops (D, anti-codon, and T loops).
Source: RNAcentral
GCUGGUGUGGCUCAACGGGAGAGCAGCUGACUUGUAAUCAGCAGGUUGUAGGUGCGAUUCCUAUCACCAGCUCCA